GAUGAACGCUGGCGGCGUGCCUAAUACAUGCAAGUCGAGCGAACGGACGAGAAGCUUGCUUCUCUGAUGUUAGCGGCGGACGGGUGAGUAACACGUGGAUAACCUACCUAUAAGACUGGGAUAACUUCGGGAAACCGUAGCUAAUACCGGAUAAUAUUUUGAACCGCAUUGUUCAAAAGUUAAAGACGGUCUUGCUGUCACUUAUAGAUGGAUCCGCGCUGCAUUAGCUAGUUGGUAAGGUAACGGCUUACCAAGGCAACGAUGCAUAGCCGCCCUGAGAGGGAGAUCGGACACACUGGAACUGAGACACGGUCCAGACUCCUACGGGAGGCAGCAGUAGGGAAUCCUCCGCAAUGGGCGAAAGCCUGACGGAGCAACGCCGCGUGAGUGAUGAAGGUCUUCGGAUCGUAAAACUCUGUUAUUAGGGAAGAACAUAUGUGUAAGUAACUGUGCACAUCUUGACGGUACCUAAUCAGAAAGCCACGGCUAACUACGUG
RNAcentral lists this ribosomal RNA (497 nucleotides) under uncultured bacterium. Its description in RNAcentral is "partial 16S ribosomal RNA". It matches the Rfam family "Bacterial small subunit ribosomal RNA", at positions 28 to 507 of the family's 1533-position model. The record is from RNAcentral.